Rhineura floridana is the source of this 710-nucleotide long non-coding RNA. RefSeq lists it as uncharacterized. The record is from RefSeq and is a predicted model, not a curated record. The transcript has 3 exons. NCBI's taxonomy places the organism in Eukaryota, Metazoa, Chordata, Lepidosauria, Squamata, Rhineuridae.
GGAAUAAGCAGGCGCAAGAGGAGACAUGGGCGACGAACACAAAGGAGAGGGGAGGCGGCCGGUCCUCUAGUUCAGGCAAGCCGAAGGGGAGGAGCAGGGGAAAGCUCAGGUGGCGAGAGGGUCCUCUGGAUAUCUUGAGGGGAAACACGACACUGCGGCGGAGUGGGGGAGCCCGAUCCCGCUUACCUCUCCCGCUGAGGACGGCGAAGGCGACGGCGAGGAGGAGGACAAGGAGGCGGGGACGCCACAGCUUCUCGGCCAUCUCCGUAGGAAGGCAGGGAGCGCGCGGCUAGGGCGCACGGCGCGGGGAAGGACUGCCCGAGGGGAAGGCUCCGAGGUCCACGUCGCGCAGAAGCCCGCUUUCCGCCGCCGGCUUCCGUGGGCAGGCGAGAGGGGAGUCGGUCCAGCCUCCGCCAGAGAAGGACGAGCAGCGCCGGCAGAAGCAGAGGCGGCGGCGGCAGCAGCGAUUGCAGCGCGGAAAGCCACUACAGGAAGAGGUGAUUUCAAAGGAAGAAACAACUGGGAGGAGGGGGUGUUGAAUCUUUUCCAUAUCCUACCAUUUCUCUGCUCCAAAUCCACUUCCAAGUUGCUUUCACCAGACUGCAGAGUUCUAGAUGGAAGCUUGCAAAGGCAAGCAAGAGCCAUUAUCAGAGUUCAAAGAUACAUUCUAGCCAUGCUGAAACACUCAAGGAGGUUACGAAGCCAGGCAA